This 253-nucleotide ribosomal RNA is filed under the name uncultured bacterium. RNAcentral describes it as "partial 16S ribosomal RNA". It matches the Rfam family "Bacterial small subunit ribosomal RNA", at positions 524 to 776 of the family's 1533-position model. The record is from RNAcentral.
UACGUAGGGUGCAAGCGUUAAUCGGAAUUACUGGGCGUAAAGCGUGCGCAGGCGGUUUUGUAAGUCUGUCGUGAAAUCCCCGGGCUCAACCUGGGAACUGCGUUUGAAACUACAAGGCUAGAGUGUAGCAGAGGGGGGUAGAAUUCCACGUGUAGCAGUGAAAUGCGUAGAGAUGUGGAGGAAUACCGAUGGCGAAGGCAGCCCCCUGGGCCAAUACUGACGCUCAUGCACGAAAGCGUGGGGAGCAAACAGG